Molecule: ribosomal RNA, 492 nt
Filed under: uncultured bacterium
Lineage: Bacteria
Description: partial 16S ribosomal RNA
Rfam family: Bacterial small subunit ribosomal RNA
Source: RNAcentral
AGUGAACGCUGGCGGUAGGCCUAACACAUGCAAGUCGAACGGCAGCACAGUAAGAGCUUGCUCUUACGGGUGGCGAGUGGCGGACGGGUGAGGAAUACAUCGGAAUCUACUUUUUCGUGGGGGAUAACGUAGGGAAACUUACGCUAAUACCGCAUACGACCUACGGGUGAAAGCAGGGGAUCUUCGGACCUUGCGCGAUUGAAUGAGCCGAUGUCGGAUUAGCUAGUUGGCGGGGUAAAGGCCCACCAAGGCGACGAUCCGUAGCUGGUCUGAGAGGAUGAUCAGCCACACUGGAACUGAGACACGGUCCAGACUCCUACGGGAGGCAGCAGUGGGGAAUAUUGGACAAUGGGCGCAAGCCUGAUCCAGCCAUACCGCGUGGGUGAAGAAGGUCUUCGGGUUGUAAAGCCCUUUUGCUGGGAAAGAAAAGCAGCAGGUUAAUACCCCGCUGUUCUGACGGUACCCAAAGAAUAAGCACCGGCUAACUUCGUG